AGUGGCGGACGGGUGAGUAACGCGUGAGAAUCUGCCUUGGGGUCGGGGACAACCACUGGAAACGGUGGCUAAUACCGGAUAAGCCGAUUGGUGAAAGAUUUAUUGCCCGAAGAGGAGCUCGCGUCUGAUUAGCUAGUUGGUGAGGUAAGAGCUCACCAAGGCAGCGAUCAGUAGCUGGUCUGAGAGGACGAUCAGCCACACUGGGACUGAGACACGGCCCAGACUCCUACGGGAGGCAGCAGUGGGGAAUUUUCCGCAAUGGGCGAAAGCCUGACGGAGCAAGACCGCGUGAGGGAGGAAGGCUCUUGGGUUGUAAACCUCUUUUCUCAGGGAAGAAGCUCUGACGGUACCUGAGGAAUCAGCCUCGGCUAACUCCGUGCCAGCAGCCGCGGUAAUACGGAGGAGGCAAGCGUUAUCCGGAAUUAUUGGGCGUAAAGCGUCCGCAGGUGGCGAUUCAAGUCUGCUGUCAAAGCACGGGGCUUAACUCCGUAAAGGCAGUGGAAACUGAAUAGCUAGAGUGCCGUAGGGGUAGAGGGAAUUCCCGGUGUAGCGGUGAAAUGCGUAGAGAUCGGGAAGAACAUCGGUGGCGAAAGCGCUCUACUGGACGGCAACUGACACUCAGGGACGAAAGCUAGGGGAGCGAAUGGGAUUAGAUGCCCC
RNAcentral lists this ribosomal RNA (660 nucleotides) under uncultured bacterium. RNAcentral describes it as "bacterial SSU rRNA". It matches the Rfam family "Bacterial small subunit ribosomal RNA", at positions 94 to 788 of the family's 1533-position model. The record is from RNAcentral.